GCUGGGCAUGGUGGCGUGUGCCUGUAGUCCCAGCUACUCGGGAGGCUGAGGUGGGAGGAUUGGUUGAGCCCAGGAGUUCUGGGCUGUAGUGCACUAUGCCAAUCGGGUGUCCGCACUAAGUUCAGCAUCAAUAUGGUGACCUCCCAGGAGCGGGGGACCACCGUUGCCUAAGGAGGGGUGAACCAGCCCAGGUCGGAAACGGAACAGGUGAAAAGCUAUUCACAGGUGCUGAUCAGUAGUGGGUUCGCACCCGUGAAUAGCCACUGCACUCCAGCCUGGGCAACAUAGCGAGACCCUGUCUCUU
Callithrix jacchus (white-tufted-ear marmoset) is the source of this 304-nucleotide unclassified non-coding RNA. It matches the Rfam family "Metazoan signal recognition particle RNA". Rfam says of the family: The signal recognition particle (SRP) is a universally conserved ribonucleoprotein. It is involved in the co-translational targeting of proteins to membranes. The record is from Ensembl. Lineage: Eukaryota; Metazoa; Chordata; Mammalia; Primates; Cebidae.